This 439-nucleotide ribosomal RNA is filed under the name uncultured bacterium. RNAcentral describes it as "partial 16S ribosomal RNA". It matches the Rfam family "Bacterial small subunit ribosomal RNA", at positions 339 to 795 of the family's 1533-position model. The record is from RNAcentral.
CUACGGGUGGCAGCAGUGGGGAAUCUUAGACAAUGGGGGCAACCCUGAUCUAGCCAUGCCGCGUGAGUGAUGAAGGCCUUAGGGUUGUAAAGCUCUUUCAGCUGGGAAGAUAAUGACGGUACCAGCAGAAGAAGCCCCCGCUAACUCCGUGCCAGCAGCCGCGGUAAUACGGAGGGGGCUAGCGUUGGUCGGAAUUACUGGGCGUAAAGCGCACGUAGGCGGACCAGAAAGUUGGGGGUGAAAUCCCGGGGCUCAACCUCGGAACUGCCUUCAAAACUAUUGGUCUGGAGUUCGAGAGAGGUGAGUGGAAUUCCGAGUGUAGAGGUGAAAUUCGUAGAUAUUCGGAGGAACACCAGUGGCGAAGGCGGCUCACUGGCUCGAUACUGACGCUGAGGUGCGAAAGCGUGGGGAGCAAACAGGAUUAGAUACCCCAGUAGUC